GUUGAACGCUGGCGGCAUGCCUUACACAUGCAAGUCGAACGGCAGCACGGGAGCAAUCCUGGUGGCGAGUGGCGAACGGGUGAGUAAAGUAUCGGAACGUGCCCAGUCGUGGGGGAUAACGUAGCGAAAGUUACGCUAAUACCGCAUACGAUCUAUGGAUGAAAGCGGGGGAUCGCAAGACCUCGCGCGAUUGGAGCGGCCGAUAUCAGAUUAGGUAGUUGGUGGGGUAAAGGCUCACCAAGCCGACGAUCUGUAGCUGGUCUGAGAGGACGACCAGCCACACUGGGACUGAGACACGGCCCAGACUCCUACGGGAGGCAGCAGUGGGGAAUUUUGGACAAUGGGUGAAAGCCUGAUCCAGCCAUGCCGCGUGCAGGAUGAAGGCCUUCGGGUUGUAAACUGCUUUUGUACGGAACGAAAAGGUUUGGCCUAAUAAGCUGAGCUCAUGACGGUACCGUAAGAAUAAGCACCGGCUAACUACGUGCCAGCCGCCGCGGUAA
This 500-nucleotide ribosomal RNA is filed under the name uncultured bacterium. RNAcentral describes it as "partial 16S ribosomal RNA". It matches the Rfam family "Bacterial small subunit ribosomal RNA", at positions 28 to 523 of the family's 1533-position model. The record is from RNAcentral.